Molecule: ribosomal RNA, 123 nt
Filed under: Diaphorina citri (Asian citrus psyllid)
Lineage: Eukaryota; Metazoa; Arthropoda; Insecta; Hemiptera; Psyllidae
Source: RNAcentral
UUGUAAUACAAUAGUUUGAUGAAACGAGGCCCAGUUCUCGUCCGAUCACUGAAGUUAAGCAACGUUGAGCGUAGAUAAUACUUGGAUGGGUGACCGCUUGGGAACACCACGUAACGUUGGUAU